This 484-nucleotide ribosomal RNA is filed under the name uncultured bacterium. Its description in RNAcentral is "bacterial SSU rRNA". It matches the Rfam family "Bacterial small subunit ribosomal RNA", at positions 30 to 508 of the family's 1533-position model. The record is from RNAcentral.
AUUGAACGCUGGCGGCAUGCCUUACACAUGCAAGUCGAACGGCAGCGGACCUUCGGGUGCCGGCGAGUGGCGAACGGGUGAGUAAUAUAUCGGAACGUACCUUUCAGUGGGGGAUAACGUAGCGAAAGUUACGCUAAUACCGCAUAUUCUGUGAGCAGGAAAGCAGGGGAUCGCAAGACCUUGCGCUGAUUGAGCGGCCGAUAUCAGAUUAGCUAGUUGGUGAGGUAAAGGCUCACCAAGGCGACGAUCUGUAGCGGGUCUGAGAGGAUGAUCCGCCACACUGGGACUGAGACACGGCCCAGACUCCUACGGGAGGCAGCAGUGGGGAAUUUUGGACAAUGGGCGCAAGCCUGAUCCAGCCAUGCCGCGUGCGGGACGAAGGCCUCGGUUGUAACCGCGUUUCAGCCGGAAGAAAUACGCCGUUUUUAAUUACUAGACGGUGGAUGACGGUACCGGAAGAAGAAGACACCGGCUAACUACGUAG